UAAAUACCUAUCCCAUAACGGUUGCCAGA
This 29-nucleotide non-coding RNA is filed under the name Mus musculus (house mouse). Lineage: Eukaryota; Metazoa; Chordata; Mammalia; Rodentia; Muridae. The record is from RNAcentral.